This is a long non-coding RNA of Paramacrobiotus metropolitanus, 862 nucleotides long. RefSeq lists it as uncharacterized. The transcript is spliced from 4 exons. The record is from RefSeq and is a predicted model, not a curated record. NCBI's taxonomy places the organism in Eukaryota, Metazoa, Tardigrada, Eutardigrada, Parachela, Macrobiotidae.
CGCGUAGGUGUGUUGUCCACGUACAAAUGUAUAUGCGGCUGUAAAUACCGUAAAGAAAGCACCAGUAUCCAAUAAAAAUUUGUUGCUUUAGUGCAUUUCUCAUUUUUUUUCGCUGCUUGUUUCCCUUUUUCUCAAAAACGAUCUGGGCAUACUUCACUUUUUUACGUUCAAAAUGAAGACUCUGGUGACCCUUGUUUGUAUCGCUUCAUGGUGUUUCCUGAAAUGUACGGCGCAACAAUGUUCCCCGUCACUUCCCACCAGUCUGCAAGGAAUAGGCGGAGAUGUUCCUCAACAGGCUGACGGGGUAUGGUACACAUACCGCCAAAUGGGCGGGACUUAUCCCACUGCAUCGCAGAUCUAGAUUACCAGCGUAGCACCCUAUUCCGACCCGGUCACCAGUGCACCGGGAUAUCUGCAAUGGUGGCAGAUCUUCCCGGAUUCAGCCGGUGCAGCCUGUUCCCGCCAAUACUGGACCGGACCGUACACUACGAUGGGCGCUCAAGUCGGUGACUUGGGUGGAUCCGCCGACAAUUAUAUUAUGCGUCCAACUGAUUUCGUGAUUCUGUACCAUGACUACCAGAACCUAAUGAUCAGCUACGGAUGCAAUAAGACGAUGGCGGACAAUGUCCAUUGCGCCACGCCCACCAUCAUCGCCCAGACUCGCAAGCGACCCGACCAGUUGUCGCAAGCGGAUAUGGACAGUCUCGACAACAUUAUCAACUCGGCAUUCUCCAAAUAUUGCAUUACGGUGCAGAAUAUCCCGAAGGAUACGUACGGACCAAAGGGCACCUGCACCGCGAUGGACCCACCGUCCUGCAUUGCUGCAGAUAUUCAGGGAAUGAGGAACACCAUUGUCAACACC